Molecule: long non-coding RNA, 282 nt
Organism: Plectropomus leopardus (leopard coralgrouper)
Lineage: Eukaryota; Metazoa; Chordata; Actinopteri; Perciformes; Serranidae
Source: RefSeq, a predicted model, not a curated record
UUUAAAAUGAACGAGCAGAGAAGUUUGACAAAGAGCAGACUGAAUGGAGGACUUGGCGUGGACACAGCUCACAGAGUUACUCAUACAGACUUCAUUGAUGCCCGAGACAGUCCAGUGGUUGAGGACACCGACCGCCAACAACGAGACGUAGCUUCAAUGCAGGCUCAAACCCUGCCCGAGGAAGGACUAGACAAAAUGAGAAACAGCCCCUGCUCCCUGUAAAACUCCACUAAUGGAGAUGAUGCCAGCAAACUGGCUCCAGUACAGCUGCCGUCAAACCAG